AGUCCAGUGCCAAGGGUCAAGACAAUGCUUACUACACUUCAUGCAAAGCUGACUAUGGGCCCUAAUUACUUGACCAAAAAUAUGGAGACAGCUACCCACCAGAAAGCCCACAACUCUAUCAAUUCAACACCUUCUUUUACAAACAUGUUCAGUAGUGGUACUAAAGUUGACAAUGUGCGGCUAAAGCAGAGGUACUUUUUGCCAACUAUGUAUGAUGGCUGAUCACUUUAUCUUUGAACUAUUUAUGAUGGCUGAUCACUUUAACUUUGAACUAUAUAUGAUGAAUAAAUAUUUGACCCCCCCCCCCCCUUUAUCUUCUAUUUUACUAAGUAAAAAUGGCUAUGCAGGUGCUUGAAGGUAUGAAAUCAUUGGGGGUUUUUUUAACAAAAAAGGAAGAUAUGCAGUUUAAACACACACGAAAAAACAAUUGCGUACGUCGAUAAAAAAUCUCCAGUUAUGAGGCCCAAACUCCAGCUGAAAAUUUCCAAAUCUCCAGUUGUGGCUUGACAACUCUGUCACAUGUAUGC
This 527-nucleotide long non-coding RNA is filed under the name Mytilus galloprovincialis (Mediterranean mussel). Lineage: Eukaryota; Metazoa; Mollusca; Bivalvia; Mytilida; Mytilidae. The record is from RNAcentral.